UUGGUUUUGAGCUUCCAGUGGGCAGACAUAAUUCUUAUUUCGUCUUUCAACUUAGCUAUUUCUUCAUCUUUAACAAUCAAAAGUUUAUUGAUCUUUUCAAAAUUUUUCGGAGAUACCUCAUCUAAUAAUUUCCUAAGUUCACAAUCUUUUCCAGCUCCAGUCUUGGCUAUAGCCUGCAUAAUGUCUUGCUCAAUUCUAAGAACUUCAUCUUUCAAUUGCUUUUGUGAAUAUUCCCUUGCCUGUAGAUCCUUUUGUAAAUUUUCUAAUUGCUCUCCUAGCCUCGUCAUACGAUCCUCGUGCUCUUUUAACGAGCUAUUCUUCACGUCUAAUUCCUUUAACAAAGACAAGCACUGAAGCUGAGCUGAUUGAGCUGAUGCAGCGCUUGCAUCUGCAGUUGCUUGAGUGGCUACAAGCUGUGAUCUAAGACCAUCCAACUCCUUAAGGUACUUCUCAGCAGUAGUAGCUGAAGCCUGAAGCUGGCCAUUCCUAUCCUCCAAUCGCUUCUGCAAUGAACGAAUCUCUUCUUCCAUGGCUUUUGCCUUAUUUUCUGCUUCCUGUCUUGUUAGUGUCUCUCUAACAAAUGAAUGCUCUUGAGAUGCAAGGCGGCUCCUAACUUCCUUUAACUCUGCAGCUAACGAAACCACGUUCCGUCUAAAACUCUGUUUCUUCUCAUUCAAAUCCUUCAACAAUGGAUCAAUCUCCCCAACUGAAACCGACGGUGAAGAAGAAAUUGAUGAACUUGAAGAUGUUUUGUCCAAAACCGACAUCAGAGCUUGAUAAGUUUAGUCAACUGGUAACUAUAAGCAGUCUUUGAAGAUCUAAC
RNAcentral lists this unclassified non-coding RNA (823 nucleotides) under Hevea brasiliensis (rubber tree). Lineage: Eukaryota; Viridiplantae; Streptophyta; Magnoliopsida; Malpighiales; Euphorbiaceae. The record is from RNAcentral.